UUAAAGUUGCAGACAUUUGGCGUAUACAAAUGCAUCCGUGCAUUUUCCUAGAUAUGUCCAUGACAUGUCCCGUAUAAAGCAUGAUAUUUUAUAGGAUAGAACAAAAAAUAUAAACAUUACAAAUAAAUUUUAAACAAAAUUUUUACCACAAAAUUCCUCCUAUAACAUUGAACAAUCUACAUGCAAAAUGAAACAACAGUACAAUCCUUCAGAGGACUGAUGUCCUGUCAUGUGUUCUCUCAAGCAUCGCGAUUUUCGACGAUCAUUCCAAACACCAGGACUCAUCUGGCCUUGAUAUACUACGAUCCGUAAAAGUUUCAUGCGCCAUUGGGCGAGAAGAACGUAGCACGGCGAAAAACGAUGGCGCGUAUUUGUUCCCAGGAUGGCAUAGCGAGAGACGUGAAUUAUUUUGCUGAGUGCCUUACAUCGUGCACAUGUACCGAUCUCAACAAGUAGCAGGAUUUCUUUCUUCGCCGCAGCUCACAAGCGGAGAACGGAACUUCGUCGGAGAACGAUGGGAUGAAACGAGACCGCAUCGUAGCCAUAACAAUACGUACACUUCGAUCGGCAAGCGUCAUAAAGCGCACAAUGGGACGGUUGAUUGGCUACUCGAACGAAAACUCGCGCUUGGAAAAACAUCGUUGGGAAAAUGAUAAGACUAUACCGCGUAAUGUUGUCGUGAGUGUCGAGGCGAAAAGAUUUGCAUUAGAGAUACUGUUAUCGCGAAGCAACAAUGACGCGACCAAUCGCUAGAGGAAAAAAAAAGAGAAAUACGUUCUGCGUUUUCACUUUAAAUCUUAACUAGUAUCUUAACUAGAUCUCUAUUUCUACUUUUUAAGAUAUUUACAUAUUUCUACGUAUCUUAAUAAUACAUCUGAUUAUUAAU
Long non-coding RNA from Wasmannia auropunctata (little fire ant), 886 nucleotides. RefSeq lists it as uncharacterized. The record is from RefSeq and is a predicted model, not a curated record. NCBI's taxonomy places the organism in Eukaryota, Metazoa, Arthropoda, Insecta, Hymenoptera, Formicidae. The transcript has 2 exons.